GAUGAACGCUGGCGGCGUGCCUAAUACAUGCAAGUCGAGCGAACAGACGAGGAGCUUGUUCCUUUGACGUUAGCGGCGGACGGGUGAGUCACACGUGCAUACCCUACCUAUCAGACUGGGAUACCUUCGGGACACCGGCGCUAAUACCGUAUAACAUGUUGAACCGCAUGGUUCAUCAGUGAAAGACGGUCUUUCUGUCUCUUAUCGCUGGAUCCGCGCCGCAUUAGCUAGUUGGUAAGGUAACGGCUUACCAAGGCAACGAUGCGUAGACGACCUGAGAGGGUGAUCGGCCACACGGGAACUGAGACACGGUCCAGAGUCCUACGGGAGGGAGCAGAAGGGAAUCUUACGCAAUGGGCGAAAGCCUGGCGGAGCAAGGGCGCGUGAGUGAAGAAGGUGUUCGGUUCGGAAAGCUCGGUUAUGAGGGAAGAACAAAUGUGUAAGGAACUAUGCACAUAUUGACGGUACCUGAUCAGAAAGCCACGGCUAACUACGUG
RNAcentral lists this ribosomal RNA (497 nucleotides) under uncultured bacterium. Its description in RNAcentral is "partial 16S ribosomal RNA". It matches the Rfam family "Bacterial small subunit ribosomal RNA", at positions 28 to 507 of the family's 1533-position model. The record is from RNAcentral.